AUAUCGGUAAACCGAUCGAAAGGUCGGGACACAAAGCCAUAUGGGGCUACCGCCGAUCUUUCGGUCAUGCCAGCCGGUUGCCG
Molecule: non-coding RNA, 83 nt
Filed under: human gut metagenome
Description: Cyclic di-GMP-I riboswitch
Rfam family: c-di-GMP-I riboswitch aptamer
About the family: GEMM was predicted in a large-scale screen for bacterial structured RNA regulatory elements.
Source: RNAcentral